CGUGAGUGAUGAAGGUUUUCGGAUCGUAAAGCUCUGUCAAGAGGGAAGAAACCUCCAAUGGCUAAUACCUGUUGGAAUUGACGGUACCUCUAAAGGAAGCACCGGCUAACUCCGUGCCAGCAGCCGCGGUAAUACGGAGGGUGCAAGCGUUGUUCGGAAUUAUUGGGCGUAAAGCGCGUGUAGGCGGUUUGUCAAGUCUGAUGUGAAAGCCCCGGGCUCAACCUGGGAAGUGCAUUGGAAACUGGCAAACUUGAGUACGGGAGAGGGAAGUGGAAUUUCGAGUGUAGGGGUGAAAUCCGUAGAUAUUCGAAGGAACACCAGUGGCGAAGGCGGCUUCCUGGACCGAUACUGACGCUGAGACGCGAAAGCGUGGGGAGCAAACAGGAUUAGAUACCCUGGUAGUCCACGCCGUAAACGAUGGGUACUAGGUGUCGCGGGUAUUGACCCCUGCGGUGCCGAAGCUAACGCAUUAA
This 473-nucleotide ribosomal RNA is filed under the name uncultured delta proteobacterium. RNAcentral describes it as "bacterial SSU rRNA". It matches the Rfam family "Bacterial small subunit ribosomal RNA", at positions 400 to 863 of the family's 1533-position model. The record is from RNAcentral. Lineage: Bacteria; Deltaproteobacteria.